Alnus glutinosa is the source of this 1102-nucleotide RNA transcript. It is a transcript of the gene named probable nucleoside diphosphate kinase 5, with no coding region annotated. NCBI's taxonomy places the organism in Eukaryota, Viridiplantae, Streptophyta, Magnoliopsida, Fagales, Betulaceae. The record is from RefSeq and is a predicted model, not a curated record. The transcript is spliced from 8 exons.
ACCCAGAUACUUUCUUCUCUCUCUGUCUCUCUAUCCUCGUAUAUUAUCUCAACUCUCACCUAAAAUCUCACGCACAUUCCAUUUUCCCGCCCUCCUCUUAAGCAUGACAAAAGCUAUCGUUCUCUUGCUUAUGGUUUUUCUCCCCCACAAUCGCAGUUUGACCCUUCAAAUGACGUUUCGCAUUGUUCCGUUCCUUGCGAGAUUUCUAUUCUUCUUCCUUCUGGUCUCUGUGCCUUUUUCUUGCAGGUCUUCAAGCAAUGGAAGUACACAGAUGGAGAAAACAUUGGCUAUGAUAAAACCAGACGGAGUGAUCGGCAAUUACACUGAUAGGAUAAAGAAUGCCAUUUUGGGGUCUGGUUUCAGCAUUCUCAAGGAAACGAUUGUUCAACUUGAUGAGGACAGUGCAGCAAGCUUUUAUGCUGAACAUUCUACAAAGAGCUUCUAUUCUAGCCUUGUCAAAUAUAUAACGAGUGGUCCAGUGUUGGUUAUGGUUUUGGAGAAGGAAAAUGCUAUUGCUGAUUGGCGUGCUCUAAUUGGGCCAACUGAUGCGCACAAGGCUAAGAUUACUCAUCCUCACAGCAUCCGAGCAAUGUGUGGUCUAGAUUCGGAAAAGAAUUGUGUUCAUGGUUCAGAUUCUACUCAAUCAGCUCAAAGAGAAAUCUUGUUCUUCUUUAAAGACGUGUUUGCAGGUCUUGCUUGUAUGGGGAAGAGAAGAAGGUUCAAUGUGCGGAUAUGAACAUCAAUUUGGUGAACUGAAACUAGAAGGCCUUGACUUCCAUAAGACCCUCGUGUGGAGGAGCUACUGAACAUGACGAACUGUAACUGAUGGUCCAUUCUUCAUCAAACAACUGCCUCAGAAGUAAAGGUAAAUUUUGAUUUGUUGGGGGUUGGGAUUUGGGGAGAUGAAGAUACAGAGAAGGGGGCGUUUGGGUUUUUGUUUUUUUUUUUUCUUCAAUUUUUUUAAUACCUAAUUUUGUUAAUAAAAAAACUAUCGUGAAAAUGAAAAUGUUAAGUUGUUGUAGUAGUUUCCAUGUAGGAUGAUGCCAUGUCAGUGUGUAGAAGCAUUGUAGUAAAAAGGAUAGUAUCUUUAGCAUUUUCCUAA